This 1306-nucleotide ribosomal RNA is filed under the name uncultured bacterium. Its description in RNAcentral is "bacterial SSU rRNA". It matches the Rfam family "Bacterial small subunit ribosomal RNA", at positions 28 to 1381 of the family's 1533-position model. The record is from RNAcentral.
AACGUACGCUGGCGGCACGCCUAACACAUGCAAGUCGAACGAAGUAGCAAUACUUAGUGGCAGACGGGUGAGUAACAUGUGGGUAUCUGCCCUUUGGCCUGGAAUAACACGAGGAAACUUGUGCUAAUACCGGAUAAGUCUUUACGGAGAAAGCUUUAUGCACCAUUGGAUGAGCCUGCACUUGAUUAGUUUGUUGGUGGGGUAAUGGCCUACCAAGACUGUGAUCAAUAGCUGAUUUGAGAGGAUGAUCAGCCACAUUGGGACUGAGACACGGCCCAAACUCCUACGGGAGGCAGCAGUGGGGAAUCUUGCACAAUGGAGGAAACUCUGAUGCAGCGAUGCCGCGUGAGUGAAGAAGGCCCUUGGGUUGUAAAGCUCUUUCGUCGGGGAAGAAAAUGACUGUACCCGAAUAAGAAGGUCCGGCUAACUUCGUGCCAGCAGCCGCGGUAAUACGAAGGGACCUAGCGUAGUUCGGAAUUACUGGGCUUAAAGAGUUCGUAGGUGGUUGAAAAAGUUAGUGGUGAAAUCCCAGAGCUUAACUCUGGAACUGCCAUUAAAACUUUUCAGCUAGAGUAUGAUAGAGGAAAGCAGAAUUUCUAGUGUAGAGGUGAAAUUCGUAGAUAUUAGAAAGAAUACCAAUUGCGAAGGCAGCUUUCUGGAUCAUUACUGACACUGAGGAACGAAAGCAUGGGUAGCGAAGAGGAUUAGAUACCCUCGUAGUCCAUGCCGUAAACGAUGUGUGUUAGACGUUGGAAAUUUAUUUUCAGUGUCGCAGGGAAACCGAUAAACACACCGCCUGGGGAGUACGACCGCAAGGUUAAAACUCAAAUGAAUUGACGGGGACCCGCACAAGUAGUGGAGCAUGUGGUUUAAUUCGAAGAUACGCGCAGAACCUUACCAACACUUGACAUGUUCGUCGCGACUCUAAGAGAUUAGAGUUUUCGGUUCGGCCGGACGAAACACAGGUGCUGCAUGGCUGUCGUCAGCUCGUGUCGUGAGAUGUUGGGUUAAGUCCCGCAACGAGCGCAACCCUCACUUUUAGUUGCCAUCAUUAAGUUGGGCACUCUGAAAGAACUGCCAGUGAUAAGCUGGAGGAAGGUGGGGAUGACGUCAAGUCCUCAUGGCCCUUACGUGUUGGGCUACACACGUGCUACAAUGGUAUCUACAACAGGAAGCAAGACUGCGAAGUUAAGCAAAUCCCUAAAAGAUACCUCAGUUCGGAUUGCACUCUGCAACUCGAGUGCAUGAAGCUGGAAUUACUAGUAAUCGUGGAUCAGCGUGCCACGGUGAAUGCGUUCCCGGGUCU